GACGAACGCUGGUGGCGUGCUUAACACAUGCAAGUCGAACGGUAAGGCCCUUCGGGGUACACGAGUGGCGAACGGGUGAGUAACACGUGGGUGAUCUGCCCUGCACUUCGGGAUAAGCCUGGGAAACUGGGUCUAAUACCGGAUAGGACCCUGGGAUGCAUGUCCUGGGGUGGAAAGCUUUUGCGGUGUGGGAUGGGCCCGCGGCCUAUCAGCUUGUUGGUGGGGUGAUGGCCUACCAAGGCGACGACGGGUAGCCGGCCUGAGAGGGUGACCGGCCACACUGGGACUGAGAUACGGCCCAGACUCCUACGGGAGGCAGCAGUGGGGAAUAUUGCACAAUGGGCGCGAGCCUGAUGCAGCGACGCCGCGUGAGGGAUGACGGCCUUCGGGUCGUAAACCUCUUUCAGUAGGGACGAAGCGCAAGUGACGGUACCUACAGAAGAAGGACCGGCCAACUACGUGCCAGCCGCCGCGGUAA
This 478-nucleotide ribosomal RNA is filed under the name uncultured bacterium. RNAcentral's name for it is "partial 16S ribosomal RNA". It matches the Rfam family "Bacterial small subunit ribosomal RNA", at positions 28 to 523 of the family's 1533-position model. The record is from RNAcentral.